GUCACAUAUACAUUAGUAUAGAUGUGUUUAUAUAAAGCAUUUUGUUUUUCUGCUAUUUAUGGCUAGUGCUGCUUUAGAACAUACAUGUAAUGCUUUUCUUUUUCUUUUUCUUUUUUGGUACCACUGAACCGCAUCCCCAGCCUUUUUAUAUUUUAUUUUGAGACGGGUCUUGCUAAGUUGAAUAGUGCCUCACUAAGUUGCUGAGGCUGGCUUUGGACUCCCAGAACUCCUGCCUCAGCCUCCCGAGCUGCUGGGAUUAUAGGCGUGUGCCACUACUUUCGGCUGUAAUGCUUUUCUUAAUUGUUCCCACAUCUUAUUAAGGUAAUUAAUUUGGUGUAAAGUGUAUAUUAGAGAAUUAUUUAACUCUUGGAAUAAAAAUUUGAAAUUGAUGCUGACCUAUUAAGAUACAACUUUGAUCCACUGUAAUUAUGAGGUAGUCAUAUCAGUAUUAGUAUAUGUUAUCCAAAAAUUAACACGAACAUUUUCUUAUUCUGGAUAUGAUAUCUUUGGCAUCAUUGCCUGUUCUUCUUGAUUAAAAUGAAAUAAUCUUAUUGAGUAAAUAGUGGUAUGUAAUUUAAAAAUAUCUUCUUUUAACUGUCUUUAAUAUAGUUAGGUGUGUUCUGUAAAAUUGAUGUCAACUCCCCGAAUCUCUAUUAUUUUCUUUCCUUUUUUUCUUCCUGUUCUCUGUAUUCUCUUGAGGGCCUCUAGUUAAUUUCUGUAGGGAAGAAUAUGUUUAAAUCUAUAUCUGUCUCUCAGGUUUACAUGGAUUCUUUUUCGUUUACCCCAAUAUACUAUGUCUAAAAUAUUAUAAUAGAUAUAGUUACUCAUUUUCAAAAAUUUGAAAAGGAGCAUAUCACAAUUAAUGAAAGCAUUUGUAGAAUCUCAUAUUUGUACUGUAUUUCUUUUUAAUGUGUACAUAUCAUUAAUGUUUUAAGAUGGCUCUUAUGAGAAAAUUUUCCUGUCUUUAGAUAUAUGAGUACAUAAAGAUAUCUUAAUUUGGAUCAUGAUUGAUUUAUUUAGAACAUUUCCAUCCUUUUUAGUCAUUGGGAGAGUUUUUAGUUUGAAUAUAACAGUGCAGUUAGCAUACUCAUUGAAAACAUGUUUGUAUGCAUAUGUCCCUGACAGUUUCUUUUAUUAUAAACUGAAGUUAUUAGAGACUUGGUUUGACUUUUUUUUUUGGUAUUUAUUUAUUUAUUUAUUCGUUCAUUCAUUCAUUCAUUCAGUGUCUUGAAUACCUGAAGAGAGUGAGGAGUAAUUGCCAGGGGUAAUUAGACCGAUAUUAAACAGAUAUUAGUCACAUAUUCACACUUCAUUCCUUCACACUUUCUUCAUUCUUCCUACUGAAACACAUAAGCUUCCUGUGCCCUGCUAUUAUGCACCAUUCUUUGCCUUUUGUUCAGCACUUUUUGUUUACUAGGAUUGGGUUCUGUUCAUUUCUCUUUUAUUGGAUGAUUUUCAUUUUUUUCUCAUUGUGCUGGAGGUUAAACUCAGAGCCUCAUCCUUGGUAGGUAAGCACUUUAUCACUGAACUAUGUGCCUUGCCCUCACUGGAUAAUUUUAAUGAAUUUUAGUGUUUGCAAGAUGAUUCUGCCCUCUUGAUCUGCUUUUCCAGCACUUUGUACCAAAUACAACUGCAUACAUUCCUUCACAUUUAAAUACCUAUUAAUCAUAUCUCAUCUACUUGUUAUGUUAUAGAUAACAGUGUUUUUUUGUAUAGUAUUGUUUUUUAUAUUAUUGUCUUUUGAUAAUGAUAGUGACCAUUACCUGAGUACACUUUAAGUGUUUAACAUGUGUAAUAAUGGUUUUUAUGGAAGUAAAUUCUAAUUUGAUCUCUUAAUUUUUCAGAUCGGGUAAUUGAGGUCAAAUACACUCAGUAACAUUGCUCCCAAAUGUCAGAGUGAAGACUCUCUCUCAUUAUCAAUGAUGCUUAAGUUGGAGGUAAAAGUGAGGUCCUCUUCAAUUUCUUGUGAUGAUUGUGCUUCUAGGAAUAUCAGCAAAGGAGAAACAGAAAAGUUUAUAGCAUAGUAACAUUAUGAUUAACUGCUAGUAGAACACUUGAAUGUAUCGAUUAUCUCCACAUUUGAUUUUCAAACCAGGCAAGUACAUACAGAAGUGACCUUUAUUGGGUGUUUUGUUUUGUUUUAGUACUGGGGGUUGAACCCAGGGAUGUUUUACCAAUGAGCUAAUACCCCAGUUCUUUUCAUUUUUAUUUUGAGACCAGGGCUUGCUAAGUUGCUGAGGCUGACCUUGAACUUAUGAACCUUCUUGCUUAGCCUCUUGGUUAUUAUAGGUGUGUACUACCUUGCCUGUAACAGAAAUAACCUUUAAAACGCCAUUUCUUCCUCAAUGUUGGUUCAUUUUUUAGGAAUAGUCAGACCUGUAAAUAAUUCUAAUUGUGUCUAAUUGAUUCAAUCAUCUCACCAACUCCAAUGUUAACUGUUGUUUUCAUUACAUUUCAAAGAUAGGACAUCAAACAAAUGGAAGUUUAGAACUUGGUCAAGAACGGCUAGCUACUGUAAGCCAUUUUUGAACCCAUGUCUUAUGGAGCAAAAGCACAACCUUUUUCUGUUUUUUUUUUUUUUUCCCCCCUGAGCGGUAUUGGGAUUUGAACCCAUGGCUCAUGCAUGGUAAGCAAGCGCUCGACCACUGAACUGCAUCCCUAGCUCCUCUUUUUGAAAAAAAACUUCAAUAUCAGGUUUUGGUAAGUUGCCCAGGUGACCUCAAACUUAGUCCUAUUGCCUCAGUCUCCUGAAUAACUGGACUGAUAAGUAACCUAAUUCUUAAUUGUUCCAGUUGUUGUAUAGUGUCAUCUUUGGACUUUUCUAGAAUCCCUUGAUGUUGCUGCUGUUUCUUCUCAUGACGAAUGUCUCUUAUAAACACGUUUUUGCAGCUUAACUUCACUCCAUGUAAGAAUCUUUUUAACAUGAGACUUGUUCCAUAGGGUUCCAUUGGCUUUGCAAGUUAGAGGAUUGCUUUUUGAUUCUUUCGUUUGGCUAUUAAGACAGAUUCUUAGAGGAGUUUACCUGCCAUUAAGUCAGCUGUUUUGUCCUAGAUGUUUCUUUCCACAUUCAGUUCCCUUUACCUUCAGGUCUUCAGCCUCCAUUUAACUUCCUAUCUUAUGCACUGAGCAUUGCAGAAUUAUGUCAGAUGAGGAAUCAUUCCAUCAAGUAACCGGGAAUAUUGCUGUGAAGAGGUCUGUCUUUUUGUAAGAGGGGUGAGUUUUAAUUCAUUUAAGCUAUAGAACAAGUCAUAAAUUGUAAUGCAUUGCUUAAUUGUCUUAUUUAUAAAGAAAACCCAUUAAUAAUAUAACUAUUAUUCCAAACCAAACAUUUUAUGUCUAUGUACCUGUUUAUUAUUAUCUACUCUAGGCCUUGUACAUAGUCUCUUCUCCACAUCCUCUAACGAUUUUAUUAUUAAUAUUAAUAUCACAUACAUUGUACAGAUAAGUGUGAAUUUGAGAGGAAAUAAUUUGGACAAGAUCCGAAUGCCCCUGCCUCCCUCCUUUUUGUACUAGAAAUUGAACCCAGGAGUGCCUAACCACAUCCCUAGGACCCCCUCCCCCCCCUUUUUGUGGUGCUGGGAAUUGAACCCAGGGCCUUGUGCAUUCAGGGUAAGCACUCCACCAACUGAGCUAUAUCCCCAGCCCCCCUAGCCCCUUUUUAAAAUUUUAUUUUGAGACAGGGUCUCACUUAGUUGCUUAGUGCCUCACUAAGUUGCUGGAUUUGAACCUGUGAUCUUCCUGCCUUGACCUCCUGACCCACUGGGAUUACAGGUGUGCACCACCACACCUGGCUCAGAAUGCCUUUAAGUUAUGGUUUAUAUUUAAAGGCCCAAUUCAUAGCAUUUUAUAUAGCCCAAGGAAGCUUCAAAUUGUUUAGAAUGUAACUAAGGAAAAGAAGUGUGGAUAAUCUUCAUAUACUUAAAUUUCCCAAUAUUUGCCUAAUAAGAUUAUAUAUAAAUACUGACAUACUGAGAG
Molecule: long non-coding RNA, 3975 nt
Filed under: Marmota monax (woodchuck)
Lineage: Eukaryota; Metazoa; Chordata; Mammalia; Rodentia; Sciuridae
Source: RNAcentral